GCUGCGGUUUGUCCAUACCUGUGUGUGUGUAUAUAUAUAUAUAUACACACACACACAUACACACACAUAUAUUUGUUAGUU
Molecule: microRNA precursor, 81 nt
Filed under: Pelodiscus sinensis (Chinese soft-shelled turtle)
Lineage: Eukaryota; Metazoa; Chordata; Testudines; Trionychidae
Description: miRNA (ENSPSIG00000019338.1)
Source: RNAcentral